This 415-nucleotide long non-coding RNA is filed under the name Homo sapiens (human). RNAcentral's name for it is "HSALNT0386763". Lineage: Eukaryota; Metazoa; Chordata; Mammalia; Primates; Hominidae. The record is from RNAcentral.
CCAGGGUGGACUGAGGCUGGAGCGUGCGACCUCAGCCGCGGGUGGGCGUCAGGGGCGACCCCGGAGCGAGGGGAGGCAAGAAGAGAUUGAAGGGAAAUCUCAAGGGGCUCCAGAGACUACUACGAUGGUGCAAAGUCACAGAAGCCCUGGGAAAAGCAGGUAGAAUGGAGUUGCCAUGACAUUGAGCCUCACCUAGAUGCCAGUUCCAGAUAUUGGCAGACUGCUGGCCUCCUGAGGAGCACAGGAAGGGGCCUGGCAGACUGGUGAUCCUGGUUGGAGAUGAAGAGGGGCUGAUUAAGAGGAGCUGACUGAGGCUGGGAGGUUUCCUGCCCGGGAGUGGCGAGCCUGUCAGAGCUGCACCUGGGCCUACCUGUACCUAGGAGAGAUUCAGGGUAUGGUUGGCUUCCCACAAACA